This 445-nucleotide ribosomal RNA is filed under the name uncultured bacterium. Its description in RNAcentral is "partial 16S ribosomal RNA". It matches the Rfam family "Bacterial small subunit ribosomal RNA", at positions 354 to 796 of the family's 1533-position model. The record is from RNAcentral.
GUGAGGAAUAUUGGUCAAUGGGCGGGAGCCUGAACCAGCCAAGUCGCGUGAAGGAAGAAGGAUCUAUGGUUCGUAAACUUCUUUUGCAGGGGAAUAAAGUGCAGGACGUGUCCUGUUUUGUAUGUACCCUGAGAAUAAGGAUCGGCUAACUCCGUGCCAGCAGCCGCGGUAAUACGGAGGAUCCGAGCGUUAUCCGGAUUUAUUGGGUUUAAAGGGUGCGUAGGUGGUUUGAUAAGUCAGCGGUGAAAGUUUGCAGCUUAACUGUAAAAAUGCCGUUGAAACAGUCGGACUCAAGUGUAAAGGAGGUAGGCGGAAUGCGUGGUGUAGCGGUGAAAUGCAUAGAUAUCACGCAGAACUCCGAUUGCGAAGGCAGCUUACUAAGCUACAACUGACACUGAAGCACGAAAGCGUGGGGAUCAAACAGGAUUAGAAACCCUUGUAGUCC